This 253-nucleotide ribosomal RNA is filed under the name uncultured bacterium. RNAcentral's name for it is "partial 16S ribosomal RNA". It matches the Rfam family "Bacterial small subunit ribosomal RNA", at positions 524 to 776 of the family's 1533-position model. The record is from RNAcentral.
UACGUAGGGUGCGAGCGUUAAUCGGAAUUACUGGGCGUAAAGCGUGCGCAGGCGGUUCGUUAUGUCCGAUGUGAAAGCCCCGAGCUCAACUUGGGAAUGGCAUUGGAAACUGGCGGGCUGGAGUGUGGCAGAGGGGGGUGGAAUUCCACGUGUAGCAGUGAAAUGCGCAGAUAUCAGGAGGAACACCAAUGGCGAAGGCAGCUCGCUGGGACGGUACUGACGCUGAGGCGCGAAAGCGUGGGGAGCAAACAGG